GCCGCAUCUAUCCACUGUCCAUAAACCCUAAUUAUCGAUCCACUGGGCAUCGCUUCUGUUCCAAUGCUGGACGAAAGUAGCGUUAGGAUCCAGUGGGAUCUUCUGAAGAAGAAUUUGUGUUAAAUGUUGUUAACAUGUUGACAGUUCAUAGGUGGUACAGGUUCAUGUGGGUCAUCUUGCCACGUUGAGUGUGCCCUCCAACGGCGAAAGGUCGGAGUGGUUAAUCUUGGCCAAGCGAUGCGGCUCGAUGGGAGUUAUGUCUGGGAUACUUACGGCUCAAUGGCUCGUCAGACAUUUCUUUAAUGUAUUGGAAGAAGCAGCUGACUGUUGUUAAGCUUCUCAACGGCACAUAAAGGCUUCUUCAAGACCUACAUAGCUUGGUUAUAGAAGCAAAAGAUAAACUAGAGACGGAAGUGGUCUAUAUGUGCC
Molecule: long non-coding RNA, 429 nt
Filed under: Helianthus annuus (common sunflower)
Lineage: Eukaryota; Viridiplantae; Streptophyta; Magnoliopsida; Asterales; Asteraceae
Source: RNAcentral